This 1192-nucleotide ribosomal RNA is filed under the name Aelurostrongylus abstrusus (cat lungworm). RNAcentral describes it as "SSU rRNA". It matches the Rfam family "Eukaryotic small subunit ribosomal RNA", at positions 592 to 1831 of the family's 1831-position model. Lineage: Eukaryota; Metazoa; Nematoda; Chromadorea; Rhabditida; Metastrongylidae. The record is from RNAcentral.
CACUAGUGUAAAUCGUCAUUGCUGCGGUUAAAAAGCUCGUAGUUGGAUCUGAGUUGCAUGCAGUGGUUCGCCUUUGGCGUUAAUCACUGUUGCGACUAUUUGCUGGUUUUCUGCAGAGAUUUCGAUUUCUGUAGUGGCUAGCGAGUUUACUUUGAAUAAAUUAGAGUGCUCAGAACAAGCGUUUGCUUGAAUGAUCGAUCAUGGAAUAAUAAAAGAGGACUUCGGUUCUAUUUAUUGGUUCAGGAACUGAAAUAAUGGUUAAGAGGGACAAUUCGGGGGCAUUCGUAUCCCUGCGCGAGAGGUGAAAUUCGUGGACCGCAGGGGGACGCCCUAAAGCGAAAGCAUUUGCCAAGAAUGUCUUCAUUAAUCAAGAACGAAAGUCAGAGGUUCGAAGGCGAUUAGAUACCGCCCUAGUUCUGACCGUAAACUAUGCCAUCUAGCGAUCCGAUGGGGUAUUGUUGCCUUGUCGAGGAGCUUCCCGGAAACGAAAGUCUUUCGGUUCCUGGGGUAGUAUGGUUGCAAAGCUGAAACUUAAAGAAAUUGACGGAAUGGCACCACCAGGAGUGGAGCCUGCGGCUUAAUUUGACUCAACACGGGAAAACUCACCCGGCCCGGACACCGUAAGGAUUGACAGAUUGAAAGCUCUUUCUCGAUUUGGUGGUUGGUGGUGCAUGGCCGUUCUUAGUUGGUGGAGCGAUUUGUCUGGUUUAUUCCGAUAACGAGCGAGACUCUAGCCUGCUAAAUAGUGACUGGAUUUUCACGUCUAGUUCACUUCUUAGAGGGAUAAGCGGUGUUUAGCCGCACGAGAUUGAGCGAUAACAGGUCUGUGAUGCCCUUAGAUGUUCGGGGCUGCACGCGCGCUACAAUGGAAGAAUCAGCUGGCCUACCCAUUGCCGAAAGGUAUUGGUAAACCGUUGAAACUCUUCCGUGACCGGGAUAGGGAAUUGUAAUUAUUUCCCUUGAACGAGGAAUUCCUAGUAAGUGUGAGUCAUCAGCUCACGCUGAUUACGUCCCUGCCAUUUGUACACACCGCCCGUCGCUGUCCGGGACUGAGCUGUCUCGAGAGGACUGCGGACUACUGUAUUGAGGCCUUCGGGUUGCGAUAUGGCGGGAAACAGUUCAAUCGCAAUGGCUUGAACCGGGUAAAAGUCGUAACAAGGUAUCUGUAGGUGAACCUGCAGAUGGAUCAUCG